This is a long non-coding RNA of Mytilus californianus (California mussel), 985 nucleotides long. RefSeq lists it as uncharacterized. NCBI's taxonomy places the organism in Eukaryota, Metazoa, Mollusca, Bivalvia, Mytilida, Mytilidae. The transcript is spliced from 5 exons. The record is from RefSeq and is a predicted model, not a curated record.
UCAGCACAAAAAGGGACAUUAUUUAGGUUUUCUCUGAACGUUGGAUACUGGUAAGACUUCUCUUUAGAGGGACAAUAUUUAGGUUUUCUCUGAACGUUGGAUACUGGUAAGACUUCUUUUUAGAGGGACAAUAUUUAGGUUUUCUCUGAACGUUGGAUACUGGUAAGACUUCUUUUUAGAGGGACAAUAUUUAGGUUUUCUCUGAACGUUGGAUACUGGUAAGACUUCUUUUUAGAGGGACAAUAUUUAGGUUUUCUCUGAACGUUGGAUACUGGUAAGACUUCUUUUUAGAGGGACAAUAUUUAGGUUUUCUCUGAACGUUGGAUACUGGUAAGACUUCUUUUUAGAGGGACAAUAUUUAGGUUUUCUCUGAACGUUGGAUACUGGUAAGACUUCUUUUUAGAGGGACAAUAUUUAGGUUUUCUCUGAACGUUGGAUACUGGUAAGACUUCUUUUUAGAGGGACAAUAUUUAGGUUUUCUCUGAACGUUGGAUACUGGUAAGACUUCUUUUUAGAGGGACAAUAUUUAGGUUUUCUCUGAACGUUGGAUACUGGUAAGACUUCUUUUUAGAGGGACAAUAUUUAGGUUUUCUCUGAACGUUGGAUACUGGUAAGACUUCUUUUUAGAGGGACAAUAUUUAGGUUUUCUCUGAACGUUGGAUACUGGUAAGACUUCUUUUUAGAGGGACAAUAUUUAGGUUUUCUCUGAACGUUGGAUACUGGUAAGACUUCUUUUUAGAGGGACAAUAUUUAGGUUUUCUCUGAACGUUGGAUACUGGUAAGACUUCUUUUUAGAGGGACAAUAUUUAGGUUUUCUCUGAACGUUGGAUACUGGUAAGACUUCUUUUUAGAGGGACAAUAUUUAGGUUUUCUCUGAACGUUGGAUACUGGUAAGACUUCUUUUUAGAGGGACAAUAUUUAGGUUUUCUCUGAACGUUGGAUACUGGUAAGACUUCUUUUUAGAGGGACAAUAUUUAGGUUUUCU